AUGGGGUGGGUCGAUGUAGGAAAAAUUGGGGGCCGGCUGGAGCUGGAGAUGAACUCGGACCUCAAGGCUCAGCUCCGGGAGCUCAACAUCACGGCGGCCAGGGAAAUUGAAGUUGGUGGUGGUCGGAAAGCUAUCAUAAUCUUUGUUCCUGUUCCUCAACUGAAAUCUUUCCAGAAAAUUCAAGUCCGGCUAGUACGUGAAUUGGAGAAAAAGUUCAGUGGAAAGCAUGUUGUCUUUAUCGCCCAGAGGAGAAUUCUGCCUAAACCAAUUCGAAAAAGCCGUACAAAAAAUAAGCAAAAGCGUCCCAGGAGCCGCUCCCUGACAGCCGUGCACGACGCAAUCCUUGAGGACUUGGUCUUCCCAAGUGAAAUUGUGGGCAAGAGAAUCCGCGUGAAACUGGACGGCAGCCGGCUCAUAAAGGUUCAUUUGGACAAAGCACAGCAGAAUAAUGUGGAACACAAGGUUGAAACUUUUUCUGGCGUCUAUAAGAAGCUCACGGGCAAGGAUGUUAAUUUUGAAUUCCCAGAGUUUCAGUUGUAAACAAAAAUGACUAAAUAAACUAUAUUCACAGU
RNA transcript from Propithecus coquereli (Coquerel's sifaka), 572 nucleotides. It is a transcript of the gene named 40S ribosomal protein S7 pseudogene, with no coding region annotated. The record is from RefSeq and is a predicted model, not a curated record. The transcript is spliced from 2 exons. Lineage: Eukaryota; Metazoa; Chordata; Mammalia; Primates; Indriidae.